CCCAGACUCCUACGGGAGGCAGCAGUGGGGGAUAUUGCACAAUGGGGGGAACCCUGAUGCAGCGACGCCGCGUGGGUGAAGGAGCGUUUCGGCGCGUAAAGCCCUCUCGGCAGGGAAGAAGGAGGACGGUACCUGACUAAGAAGCCCCGGCUAACUACGUGCCAGCAGCCGCGGUAAUACGUAGGGGGCAAGCGUUAUCCGGAGUUACUGGGUGUAAAGGGGGCGCAGACGGCAGCGCAAGCCAGGAGUGAAAGCCCGGGGCCCAACCCCGGGACUGCUCUUGGAACUGCGCGGCUGGAGUGCAGGAGGGGCAGGCGGAAUCCCUGGUGUAGCGGUGAAAUGCGUAGAUAUCAGGAGGAACACCGGUGGCGAAGGCGGCCUGCUGGACUGCGACUGACGUUGAGGCCCGAAAGCGUGGGGAGCAAACAGGAUUAGAUACCCCCGUAAAC
This 449-nucleotide ribosomal RNA is filed under the name uncultured bacterium. Its description in RNAcentral is "bacterial SSU rRNA". It matches the Rfam family "Bacterial small subunit ribosomal RNA", at positions 330 to 795 of the family's 1533-position model. The record is from RNAcentral.